AUGGUGACUGGCGUUCCGGAGGUGCUGCGGGAAGCGGAGGGACGGUGGGCGGAAAAUGACGCGUUCGGCAGAUCUGAUUCAUCCCCUCUGACCAAGUCCCCGAAACAGGCUGUAAAGAGAUGCAGUUGGGAAAUGCCUAAGGCAGUAGUUCUCAACUUUAGCGUGUGCUUUAGAACCACCUGCAAGACUUACAACCCAAAUUGGUGGACUCCAUCUCCAGUUUCUGAUUAGUAACUCUGGGAGAUCACCUGAAGAUUUGAAUUUCUAACAAGUGCUCACUGAUGGUACUGGUUCCUGGAAUAUACUUUGAGAACCACUAGAUCUGGUGUAACAUCUCAUGUAAGGUGGUUUCAGCCUCAGUUCUCUGAAGGAGAAAUGAAGGACCUUCACCUGAAGAUAUUUAAGUAUGUUUCUCAAGGAUUAUCUGACUUACGGCUCCACUUCUUUCUCCUUGAUGUAGAAGAGCCACAUUAUGAAUAUCUCUUACAUUUUACUAAGGCUGUAACUCUGUCAUGCCUGUCCAGGUAUGAGCCUCAGUGCCAGCCUUCUUUGCCGCUGAGUGUUUCAUGUGGUUAAGCUCCUGCUAAUAGAAUGCAGCAGAAGUAAUACUUGCCCUCUGCACUGUGCUUUCAAGAGAAUGGGUGUUGUGCUCCUCUCCUUCUCAUGGGCCAGGGUGCUGGCUUUAGAAGCCAGAUGCUGGAGAUGACAGAAAGUCUGUCUGGCUGAGUCUCUGAAUGACUUCAUGGAGCAGAGCCUCUACCCCUCCAGGCUGGGACACCCCUCUGAACCAUUUUCUUAGCAAAAAUAGGCUCCUCUUGUGCUUGAGUGAUUAUUGCUUAAGGUCUAUGUAUUAAAACAAGUAAGCCUAUUCUAACUAAGUAGUUAUGUUCCUCAAAAUUUAAAUACUUAAUUAUUUCUCUAGAGUCUAGUCUUAAUGGUAUUUAUUUCUGUAUUUGUGUGUUAAUAUAGUAACUUUUUAUUCUGUAAAAUAUCAAAUAUAUAAAAAUAGAGGAAAUCACAUAAUGAAGCCUUAUGUACCCAUCACUAAAUUUCAAUAUUUAUGUUAUAAAGCCAUUCCUAUCUUCUAUGUGUAUGUGCCAUUUCCUAUAAAUUUAUGGCCAUUCUUAUGUCAUUGGCACCCUCUUUCUCCUGUGCUCCCUCCUGGAUAAUUUUAAAGCAAAGCUCAGAAUCUCAAACAUCACAUCAUUUCAUUGUGUCCAUUAAAAAUGCCAUGUAAGAAAACUCCUUCACUUUCCCUGGAACUGAGUGCUUUUUAUGAAACCCUGGCUGUGAAAAGGCCACUUCCCAUGGCUUGACAACACAUGAUGAAGACAGUGUGAGCUGUAAGGUUUAGCUUGCCUGCCAGUGUGAGGAGCACAAACUGUCCCCAGAAUGUCCCAGAAUCUACCUUCACCCCAUGCAAGCUGGAAGUUUUGAGCUUAUAAAGGGGCCUGGCUGUGCCAGGCAGGCUGAAAGUAUGGAGUGACAGGCAUUGGGUCAAGAACUGCCAUCAGAUAACUUAGGUUGUAAAAGUCUAAACUUUGCUAUGUUACUUACUUGGUGUAUGUCCUUCAGCCAUUUACUUAAUUAUUCAGAUCCGCAUGUUUUCUUAUUUAUAAGAUAGAAAUGAGCCCUGACUGGGUAGCUCAGUUGGUUGGAGUGUCAUCUCAUACACCAAGGUUUCAGGUUCAAUCCCUGGUCAGGGCACAUACAAA
Molecule: long non-coding RNA, 1715 nt
Organism: Myotis lucifugus (little brown bat)
Lineage: Eukaryota; Metazoa; Chordata; Mammalia; Chiroptera; Vespertilionidae
Exons: 4
Source: RefSeq, a predicted model, not a curated record